GACGAACGCUGGCGGCGUGCUUAACACAUGCAAGUCGAACGGUGAAGCGCCUUCCUUUUUGGUGGGUGUGGAUGAGUGGCGAACGGGUGAGUAACACGUGAGUAACCUGCCCCCUUCUUCUGGAUAACCGCAUGAAAGUGUGGCUAAUACGGGAUAUUCUGGGUCUGUCGCAUGAUGGGUCUGGGAAAGAUAUUGUUUCGGUGGGGGAUGGGCUCGCGGCCUAUCAGCUUGUUGGUGGGGUGAUGGCCUACCAAGGCGGUGACGGGUAGCCGGCCUGAGAGGGUGGACGGUCACACAGGGACUGAGACACGGCCCAGACUCCGACGGGAGGCAGCAGUGGGGAAUAUUGCACAAUGGGCGCAAGGCUGAUGCAGCGACGCCGCGUGAGGGAUGGAGGCCUGCGGGUUGUGAACCUCUUUCGCCAGUGAAGCAGGCCUGCCUCGUUUGUGGGUGGGUUGACGGUAGCUGGAUAAGAAGCGCCGGCUAACUACGUG
This 494-nucleotide ribosomal RNA is filed under the name uncultured bacterium. RNAcentral describes it as "partial 16S ribosomal RNA". It matches the Rfam family "Bacterial small subunit ribosomal RNA", at positions 28 to 507 of the family's 1533-position model. The record is from RNAcentral.